This is a long non-coding RNA of Nycticebus coucang (slow loris), 3766 nucleotides long. RefSeq lists it as uncharacterized. The record is from RefSeq and is a predicted model, not a curated record. The transcript has 3 exons. NCBI's taxonomy places the organism in Eukaryota, Metazoa, Chordata, Mammalia, Primates, Lorisidae.
GGUUCAAACCCAUCACCCUCGGUAUAUGGGGCCGGCGCCUGAUUCAUUAAUUUUUUUUAUAGAAAUGCUGUGUCCUUAGUGCAUUGCAUAAGAACACAAAUGUUCCUCUCUAUAUUUUUUAAGAUACAGUAUUUAUAUACAGAGGGCGCCGAAAAAUGUAUACACAUUUUAAGAAAGGAAAAAACUAUUAAAUUUGUAACACUCAAUAUGUGCUGUCAAAAGGUGAAUGCAAGCCACGUUUGAGUAUUUCUUGUAAUUGCGGAAGUCAGAUGUGACUUGAGUAUUACAAAUUUAAUAGAUUUUUCUUUUCUUAAAAUGACUAUACACUUUUUUGCCUCAUCUGUAUAUAUAGUUCCAUAUAUCUCUCUAUAUAUUUUUUUUUAGAGACACAGCCUGGCUAUGUUGCCCAGGUUGGAAUGCAGUGGCUUUUCACAGGCUGGAUCAUCCCCCAUUACUGCCCUGAACUUAGGGGCUCAAGCAAUCCUCCUGCCUUGGUCUCCUGAGUAUCUGGGACUAUGAGCAUACACCAUUGCCCUAUGGCUGUCUUGAUACUUUGGUAUUACCUUUUACCAUUUAAUUAAGGUGGUGAUUUUUGUCAUGACAAUUCUCAAAUGUAUUCCAAGCCUUUCCUCUAAACCAGUGUUUCUCACUUUUUUAUCUUAAGGCAACCUUGAACCUAUAGUUAAAUUUCCACAACACACUUAAAUUAUAUAACCCCCCACACAAAAAGAAUAUACUUACUGUGCUUUGAACUUAUUUAGAAAAUAAUUUAAUGGUCUUUAAAACUUUUCAUGGCAUACCUAAGAUCUCACUGCACACUGGUUGAAAGUCACUGCUGUAAGCUCUAUGCCAGUGUAUCUUCCUGGAGUGCUCUAGCAGUCUUAUAAGUGAUCUGCUUUCUUUAAUAUAUUGUCUGCUAGGCAGUCAAAUCUUUUAAAGAAGUGAAUCAAAUCAAGUCACUUCCUCUUUAAAAUACUUAAAUUACUGGUCAUCAUAGUUCAUGCAUGUAGUCCCAGCUACUCCUGACGUUGAGAUGGGAGUAUCACUUGAGCCCAGGAGUUCCAGGCUGCAGUAAACUAUAAUCAAGCCAUUGCACUCAUGCCUGGGCAAUAGAGCAAGACCCUGUUUCUUUAAAAAAAAAAAAAAAAAGUUUGGUUAGGAGCAGAGGCGUGUAAGGCCAACACCAGUGGGAGGCUGCAGUGGAAGUAUCAUUUAAGACCAGAAGUUUUAGCUAGUUUGGGCAACAUAGUGAGACCCCAUCACUACAAAAAAAUACAAGUGUGUGUGUGUGUGUGUGUAUAUAUAGAUAGAUAGAUAGAUUUUUUUUUUGAGACAGAGUCUCACUUUAUUGCCCUUGGUAGAGUGCUGUGGUGUCACAGCUCACAGCAACCUUCAACUCCUGGGCUUAGGUGAUUCCCUUGCCUCAGCCUCCUGAGUAGCUGGGACUAUAGGCACCCACCACAGCAGCCUGGCUAUUUUUUGUUGCAGUUUGGCUGGGGCCAGGUUCGAACACGCCACCCUUGGUAUAUGGGGCCAGCACCCUACCCACUGAGCCACAGGCAAAAAUACAUAUUUUUUAAAUUUAGUCAGGUGUGAUGUGAUGUGAUGGUAUAUGCCUGUAGUUCUAGCUCCUUUGUAGGCUGAGCUGGGAGGAUCUCGUGAGCCCAAGAAUUUGAAGGUGCAAUGAGCUAUGAUGCCAUUGCAUUUCAGCCUGUGCAUUCAAAAUAAAGAAAAAAAGGUUUAUAGCCCCAAACUAGAAACUAUCCAAAAGUCCAUACACAAGAGAAUAGAUAAACUGUGGUAGUCUGGCAACGCAGCGUAUAGUAACUACAACUACGUGGAACAACAUGGGUAAAUUUUACAUAUAACACUAAGUGAAAUAGAAACAAAGAAUAUAUGCUAUGUAAUUUUAUAUGAAAUUCAAAACAGGCAAAAUUGCCUAUGGUUGUGAUAAGUUUACCUUUGAGGCAGGCAGGAGUGGCUGGAGGAAAAGAGGGAGCAUCUGAGCUGCUGGCCAUUUUAUUUUCUUCAUCUGAGCUAAAGGAGGGUGUUUAACUUGUGAAAAUUCAAAGUUCUGUAGUUCAAAAUUCAAAUUCCUAUAGUUCAUGCGUUAUUCUCCCCAGAUGUGUGUUAACUUAAAAAAAAAUUUUUUUUUUAAUGUUGUUUCCUGGUUCUAUAACAAAAGAAUUUGAUUUGCAGGUCCAGAGAGGGGCAAGAAAAUGCAUUUUAAAAUAACUUCUCUAAGUGGUUCUCUGAACACAUUUUGGGAAAGAAACUCUUUAAGAUUCUCCAUACAAUUACAGAAUUAUUUUUGUAAUGUACAUUAUCUGAUUAUGUCACCUCUGUUUAAAGUCCUAACAAUGUUCGUUUUUAACCCCCUAUCCCGCAGGAUAAAGUCCAAAUCUCCACAGCCUGGCAUUCAAGGUACUCCAAAACCUCAGGUCCCAUAAUUUUUCAUGCAGUUGAGCCCUCUCCUUUCUUUGGGCUCCCCGCGUGCCCCUCAAAACUCCUUCCCAAGCAGCUCCAAGCAGUUUCCAAAUUUCUUCCAAGCUCCAUUUAUAAUGUUAAGGUAACUUUUUUCCAAACAAAGCUUGUGUGCCUGGGAAGGUCGUGGGUAUGCAGGAAUGAACAAAAUAACCACAACGGCCAUGGCCAUAGACGUCAGAAAACAGUACACUACACUCAGCAACCUCAGUUCUUCUCAGCGAGCUUCUGGGGCUUCCAGAAAGACCACCCAGCUUCCGCGACCACCGAGAGAAAGGGCAAGUUGAGGGCGAGUAAGUUCUUCCAAUUACAAGAGGAAGGUCAACUCGAGGAUGACGCUAAGAGUCGAUCUGGCUUCUUGGACGCGCUCUGUAGUUUAUUUGGCCUCUGCUCAGGCCCUAGUUGAACGCCCGAUGACUAAGAAGAAAGGCUAGGCGCGGUCCUCACCUAUGACAAAUGUGGAGGCCGGAAGGCGCUCAGAAAACGUUAGCUGGAAUGCUGAUGGUGUGGGGGAAGAAGGUAUUUGAGGGAUGAUAUCAAUAGAGAAGUUCUGGAUCUUUCCUGUUGCAAAGCUCAAGGGGGAAAAUGGCUUGACCUGUUGAGGAUUUUCUCCAUGGUUCCAGCAGAGGGCCUUCAAGUCUCAUGUGUUUCAAGAAGACAUUUGUCUCAUUUUUGUUGCAAAUUCAGUCAUUUAGCUCAAUGAUUGUCACAUAGUAGACUUUUGGUGAAAAUAUGAUGAGUGAGGGAAUGAAUCUGUGAGUAAAAUAAGUACUUUAAAAAACUUGUAUUUAUUGGCUACAGUGGGGGCCAGUCACUAGCUAAGUGCAGUGUUUUUUCUUUCUGUAACUAUCUCAUGAUAUAGGUGUUAUGCCUUGUUUAUAGAUGAGGAAAUCAAGGCUCAAAGAGAUUAAAAGACAUUAUGAAAAUCAUAGAGGUAGCAAAUAGUGAAUUCUUGAGUUAACCCAGAUUUGUAACUUUAUUUUCAAAGUGUCAUAUAGGACUACAGAAAAUAUAUUAAUGGUUGAAAAAGGGAACAUCUGUAACCACUACUUAGGUGUAGGACAACAUUGCCAUCCCAGAAGCCCUGUUGUUAUGGAAUGAAUGUUUGUGUCUCCCCAAAUUCAUUUAUCAAAUCCCUGCCCCCAUUCUGGUAUUUGGAAGUAGGGCCUCUGAGAGAUAAUUAGGGUUAAAUGAGGUCAUGUAGGUGGGUGGAGGCCUCAUGAUAGGAUUAGUGCUCUUGUUAAAAGAAACAUCAGAGAUAUCUCUCUCUCUCUCUCUCUCU